UGUUCGAGCGUCAUUAUAACCACUCAAGCCUAGCUUGGUAUUGGAGUUUGCGGCCUCGUAGCUCCUAAAACCAGUGGCGGUGCCGGUGUGGCUCUACGCGUAGUAAUUCUUCUCGCGAUGGAGUUCCCCUGGUUACUUGCCAGAAUCCCCAAUUUUUACAGGUUGACCUCGGAUCAGGUAGGGAUACCCGCUGAACUUAA
RNAcentral lists this unclassified non-coding RNA (200 nucleotides) under soil metagenome. RNAcentral describes it as "partial contains internal transcribed spacer 2 and large subunit ribosomal RNA". The record is from RNAcentral.